CGUAGGGUGCGAGCGUUAAUCGGAAUUACUGGGCGUAAAGCGUGCGCAGGCGGUUUUGUAAGACAGAUGUGAAAUCCCCGGGCUCAACCUGGGACCUGCAUUUGUGACUGCAAGGCUAGAGUACGGUAGAGGGGGAUGGAAUUCCGCGUGUAGCAGUGAAAUGCGUAGAUAUGCGGAGGAACACCGAUGGCGAAGGCAAUCCCCUGGACCUGUACUGACGCUCAUGCACGAAAGCGUGGGGAGCAAACAGGAUUAGAUACCCUGGUAGUCCACGCCCUAAACGAUGUCAACUGGUUGUUGGGUCUUUACUGACUCAGUAACGAAGCUAACGCGUGAAGUUGCCCGCCUGGGGAGUACGGCCGCAAGGUUG
Molecule: ribosomal RNA, 370 nt
Filed under: uncultured organism
Description: bacterial SSU rRNA
Rfam family: Bacterial small subunit ribosomal RNA
Source: RNAcentral